Molecule: ribosomal RNA, 406 nt
Filed under: uncultured bacterium
Lineage: Bacteria
Description: partial 16S ribosomal RNA
Rfam family: Bacterial small subunit ribosomal RNA
Source: RNAcentral
AUUGAACGCUGGCGGCAGGCCUAACACAUGCAAGUCGAACGAGUGGCGGACGGGUGAGUAAUGUCUGGGAAACUGCCCGAUGGAGGGGGAUAACUACUGGAAACGGUAGCUAAUACCGCAUACCAUCGGAUGUGCCCAGAUGGGAUUAGCUUGUAGGUGAGGUAACGGCUCACCUAGGCGACGAUCCCUAGCUGGUCUGAGAGGAUGACCAGCCACACUGGAACUGAGACACGGUCCAGACUCCGACGGGAGGCAGAAGUGGUGAAUAUGGCACAGUGGGCGCAAUCCUGAUGCAGCCAUGCCGGGUGGAUGAAGAAGGCCUUCGGGUUGGUAAGUACUUUCAGCUGGGAGGCGUUACCCGCAGAAGAAGCACCGGCUAACUCCGGGCCAGCAGCCGCGGUAAUAC